Molecule: non-coding RNA, 45 nt
Filed under: Schistosoma mansoni
Lineage: Eukaryota; Metazoa; Platyhelminthes; Trematoda; Strigeidida; Schistosomatidae
Source: RNAcentral
AUUCAGCUGACUAGUCUCAAAUAGGACGAAACAUGAGUCCUGGAU